UUCACUUCUCGGCCUUUUGGCUAAGAUCAAGUGUAGUAUCUGUUCUUAUAUUAAAAACACAGAACAAAGAUUAAAACACCAAUA
This is a small nuclear RNA of Anolis carolinensis (green anole), 84 nucleotides long. Its record names the gene U2. It matches the Rfam family "U2 spliceosomal RNA". Rfam says of the family: U2 is a small nuclear RNA (snRNA) component of the spliceosome (involved in pre-mRNA splicing). Complementary binding between U2 snRNA (in an area lying towards the 5' end but 3' to hairpin I) and the branchpoint sequence (BPS) of the intron results the bulging out of an unpaired adenosine, on the BPS, which initiates a nucleophilic attack at the intronic 5' splice site, thus starting the first of two transesterification reactions that mediate splicing. The record is from Ensembl. NCBI's taxonomy places the organism in Eukaryota, Metazoa, Chordata, Lepidosauria, Squamata, Anolidae.